UAGAAUAAUUAGGUGGUGACUCUUCAACUUUAAUCAAAUAUGAAAUUGCCUAUAUGUUGUACCUAAUUUGACCCAUGUUAAAAUAAGGUGUAACAAAGGUCAAAGGAUAUAGCUUCAGUGAAAGUACAGUGGAGAGGUCGGCCUAUGGGGAGCUACCUGGGAGACCGAGCGGGAGAUGCAGAGCACAUAUCCUCACCUGUUUGAGGCUUUAGGUAUGUUUCUUGACCCGUUCGAGCACGAACGUUUGUUUAAGUUGGGGACUAUGUGAUGACCCGGCCAGUUGUUUGAGUUAUUGCUCCAUUUCUCCCAUUUAUAUUUCUUUAUACUUUGUUAUCCAUAUUUUGUGGUAUUGGGUUGGUCGGAUCGAGUCCGGAAUGAUUUUGGUAAGGUUUGAGACACUUAGUCUCUUUUAAGAAGGUUUAAGUUGGAAAAGUUCAACCGGAAUUUGACCUAUGUAUUUGAGGGCUCGGAUAUGACUUAGGAUGGUUCGGUUAGCUCCGGGAGGUGAUUUAUGACUUAGUAGUGUAAUCGGAAUGGGUUUAGGAGGUCCGGAGUAGAAUUAGGCGUGAAUUGGCGAAGUUGAUAUUUUGGCGAUUUCCUAUUGAUAGGUGAGAUUUUCUUAGAAGGGUCAGAAUAAAAUUCCGAGAGUUAAAGUAGCUUGCUUGUGUCAUUUGGGAUGUGAGUGCAAAAUUUUAGCUCAUUCAGAUGUGGUUUGGUUGUGUUUUUUUAUCAAAAGUGUGUUUCGGAAGAUUUUAGAAACUUAGGCUUGAAUCCGAUGUAUUUUGGGUGAUUUGAUGUUGUUUGAGGUGUUUUAUGAUUGGAACAAGUUUGAAUAAGGUUUUGAGAUGUGUUGGUACUUUUGGUUGAGGUCCUGGGGGCCUCGGGUGAGGUUCGGAUGGUCAAUCGGACAAUUUCGUGCCUUAAAAGAUAGCAGAAAGCUGCAGGUUCAGUGUUGCAUGAAAUUGCUCUUCGCGAUCACAUAGAAGGAAUCAAGGUAGGGCAUCCAGUUCGCAUUCGCGAUUGCAGGCACGCUAUCCCAUAGCAUGGGAGAAUUGUUCAUCGCGAACGCGUGAGCGAAGUUGCAUUCGCGUAGGAUCAAUUGGACAUGGGUCUUGGCAUGUCGUUUGUGCAUUGCGCGAUGCGGGGUUAUGUCCGUGAUCGCGUAAGGUUUUUCAUCUGGUCAUCGCAUUUUCAUGUUCUUUGUCGCAUUCGCAUAGUAUAUUUUUGGGGAGUUUAAACUUUGUUCUUCGGAAUCGCGAGGGAAGUGUCGCGAUCGCGAUGAAGGAGAUGAGGCAUGUGCAGAAUGUUUCUAAAGUCAUCUUAUUUGCAAAUGUAGGUCUAUUUUCACCCAUAGCUGCUCAUUUUGAGAGAUGUUUGAAGUAGAUUGAAGAGGGAUUCAAGGGGAAAUGAUUUGAGGUAAUAAGUUCGGACCUAAAACUUGAUUCUAUUGUGAAAUCUACCUAGAAAAUCAUGGAAAUUUAAGCUAAAAAUGGAAGAACCAGGGCUUGGAAUUUUGGACUUUUGAUUAGGGAUUGGAGGACCAUUUAGCGUCAGAUUUGAGAACUUUUGAUAUGUAUGAACUCGUGGGGAGAUAAGGAACCCAUUGAUGUAAAAAAUUUUGAAUUUUGAGACCGAGACUCGGAUUUUGCUAAUUUCGGGAUUUUUGGUAUUUUUUUAUUGUUUUCACUUGGGCUUUGUUCCCUUAGCAAAUUGUGACGUAUUCGUUCUGAUUUUGGAUAGACUCAAUGCGCGUGGAGGCCGAUUCGAGGGACAAAGGCAUUGCGAGCUAUAGAUUUAGCCGGUUAGAGGUGAGUAAUGAUUGUAAAUGAUGCUCUGAGGGUUGGAAACCCCGAAUUUGCACAUCGUAGAGCUAUAUUGAGGCGAGACAUGUGCUUGAUGAUGAGCGUGGGGUCGUAUAAUAUUGAGGAUUGUGACUUGGUCCGUACUAAUUGAUGUUUUUGCCACAUAUUUGACUGAAACUUAUUUUCUAUCAUCAUGAUUUGCGAUCAAUGCCAAUUAUAUGAACCUUUCGGGGAUUUUCAUUACUAUUUCCUUACUGUUUUGACUUAUUACUUGAACUCAGUCUUGAUAAUUUCCAUUGUUUUAUUAUUCAGCCAUUCUUUCUCAGUUUUUAAGACUUUAAUGAUAUUUUAAAUGAUGUUUGGGCUGAAAAUACUAUUUUACUAUUAAUCGAGGGGGUUGUGAUAAUUUUUGGACAGAGUAAUAUCGACUGUGAGGAACAUUGAUACCAAUUUGAGGACGAGGGCAUGAGAUACAUAUAUGUCACGAGGUGGUUUGAUUGAUACGAGGCCUAUAGCCUAGAUUUGAUUCCACGAGAUGGAUUGUUAUUGUGUUUGGGCCGUAAAGGGCCUCUCCCAAAGUCUGUACACCGCCAGUGAGCGCGGGUACCCAGUUGUGAUAUGAGAUUGAGCCCGAGGGGCUGGUACUCUACUAAAAUAUAGAUCGAGGGGUGGAUUUGUGGAUACUGAGCCGGAGUACUCACAUUACUCCUUGCAUCGUAUGUGCAGAUUUACACGUCGAUGUGUCGGGUUGGAUAUUCCAUACCUUAUUAUACAUUUUUCACUAUUUAGUAUCAUUUAAUCAUUCUUAUAUUGCUUUCAUGUUAAUUAACUGCUUAAAAUGAGAAUUUGGUUCAAUUGGCUGGCCUUUUCCUCACGAGAGGCUUUAUCACGACCGAGUUCGGGGUUAGUGUCGUAACAAAUAGAAAGGCAAUAGCAAAUCCAUAAAUGUUUCUUUAAGUCUUCUCUGGUGGAGGCCAGUGCACAAGUCCUAUACUUGUAGGAGCGAUUCAUGUGCACUUUGCUUUUCCUUUUGGCCUAUCUACUUUAGCUUUGUAAUCACACUUGGAAGGCAUGAAUGAAGAAAAUCACUAAUUUAUUCUAGCUCUUCCUUUGGUACUCGCCGUUUUUAGCUUUGUUCCUAGGCUUCUUAGUACAAUGAGUAGAGAUGGUAAAAAAUUAUCGGGCACAUGAUGUUUACAUCAAAUUAUACUAAUUUAUCAUGAUCAAAUUAUAUUGAUUUAUCAAGAUUAAAUUAUAAAUUAAAGUAAGAAUAUAAAUUAAUUAAUUAUGUUUUCCUAGUAAUCAUAUUUGUAAAGACACGUGUUAUGUACAUAUCAAAUUGGCAUAAACACCAAGUAAGGAUGAGUGUUUACCGAGUAUAAAUUAAGGGGAUUUUUUAUUCAUGUACACUAUAUGAAACUUUUUUACAAAAAUAUCCCUAUUUUCAAUAUUACCUGACCUGGACACAUUAUUCCUUCAGAAUUUAUAUAAAUCGUUUAAACAGAAAUCCUUUUUGUUGUAUCAUUCCUUUUUUAGCGAGGAUUUGAGAUAGUAAAGGAUUCUACCGAGAUUUUUAGAAACGCACUUGUAACGACCUGACCCGUCGUCACGUGAAUUACUACCCUGAUUUUCCCGUUUAAUGCUUUUAUAUGUUUCAUUAUGUGUUUGGAGAAUUUGAAGUAAUUUCGAUAAAGUUUGGUUAGAAAUGAGAUAAUUAGUCUCUUUAUUAGAAUGUUAGUUUGGAGAAGUCAACCGAAUGUUGAAUGAAGAGUUAGAGGGCUCGGAAUGGAUUUUCGAUGAUUCAAGUAGUUUUGAAUGAUGAUUUAUGACUUAGGAACGCAAUCGAAAUUGAAUUUGGAGGUCCGGUGUAGAAUUAGGCCUGAAUUGGCUGAGUUUGAAUUUUGGCGAAUUCCAGCUGAUAGGUGAGAUUUUGAUCCGAGGGUCGGAAUGAAAUUCUGAUAGUUGCAGUAGCUCCGUUAGGUGAUUUUGGAUAUGCACGCAAAUUUUCAGGUCAUUUAGAGGUGUUUAAGUCGAGAUUUUGAUCAAAUGCAAGUUUUGGAAGUUUUAGUUUGACUUAGGCUUGAAUCCGCGUCAAUUUGAUGAUUUUGAUAUUUAUGAUAGCAUUUUUAUGUUGCGAGCAAGUUUAAAUGAGGUAGUGGGAAACAUCUGUACGUUUGGUUGAGGUCCCGAGGGCCUCAUGGCGAUGUAGGAUGGUUAAACGGGGAAUUUACGUGUUGUUGCAGGUUUGGCACCUGGCUUGUGGUAUUUCCGCAUCUGCGGAAAAGAGCUACAGAAGCGGUUCCGCAGAUGCGGAUUAGCGAACGCAGAAGCGGUCCACGAGGGAUCGGAGGGUUUCUGUAAAAGCGGACAAGGGACCGUUUUAGCGAGUCCGCAAAAGCGGAACCCAGGCCGUAGAAGCGAAAAAGGAAGGUCCGUAGAAGCGGAAUCUUGGGUCGCAAAAGCGGAAUCCCAGGGACUUAUGGAAAACCGCAAAAGCGGCCAAAAGGACGCAGAAGCGGUCCCGCAAAAGCGGUUACGUGAUCGCAGAAGCAAAAAUGUUGGAGGGUUUAAAGAAACAGUAUUUGCGAAUUUCAGAAGUUAAGAAAAUAUUUUAGACUUCGGAAGAGGCAAGUUUGGGCGAGUUUGGGGGAUUUUUAGGAGAAAAUGAAGAAGCAUCAUCAUGUAGCCCAGGAAUAUUAUAUUUUGGUGUAAAAACGUUGAAUAAUCAUAGAACUUCAAGGAUUUACGGGUUAAAAUGGAGGUUAGGGAAUGAAACCCAAGAGAGUUUAAAUGCGAGUUUUGGAGGGGCAAACGAACUCUGUUUUUGACAAAAUUUAUAUGUACGGUCUCGUGGUGAGACGAGGAAUACAUUGAUGCAACUUUCGUAAUUUUUCAACUAGUGGGCUCGGGGCUCAGGUUUUACCAACUUCGUAAUUUUUAGCGUUUCUCGAGUAAUUUCAAUUGGGUUAUGUUUAUUCAACUUAUAAUGACGUAUUCGUUGUAAUUUUGACUAGAUUCGAUAUGCGUAGAGGUAGAUUCAAGAGGAAAAGGGAAGAUCAGUGUACGAUCGGUUAGAGGUGAGUAGUUUGUAUAGAUGAUGGCCUGAGGGUUUGAAACACUGGUUUAUCACAUUGUAACGCUGUGUUAGGGCGUGACUCGCACCCUAUGGCAGGUGCGGGAUUGUAUAUGAUUAGGGAUUGUGACUUGGUUCAUCUCGAGAGCUAAAUAAAAUUAUCGGCAGCUGAUACACACCCUGUAGUGAAUAUAUCUGGUCUUAUUGCCAUGUUUGGGGCCUUAUGCCAAUCUGUAGCAUCCGUCUGGGAUGAAUAUCUUUGUGAUAACAUGAUUUGCAUAAUAAAUGAUUUCAGUCAUAUGCUUAAUCACCAUUAAUAAAUGGUAAGUCACCCUUUUCCUGAAAUUAAAUAACUAAAUUGUAUUCAUCUUAAUAAUUGGAAACUGGGAAACUAGACUGAAUCUGUUAUGUGACUUACAUGCAUACUGUGGACUAAGUAUCGGUUGGGCUAGACGUUGCAGCAGUGAUAUGACGAUAUUGCGCUUGGGCUAAAGGAGCCCAUCCGGAGUCUGUACACCCCCCAGUCAGCGUCGUCGACGUUAAGUGGAUCGGGUUGUACACCGCAGCGAUUUCAUGUGCAUUGCAUUACAUUUCUUGCAUUACACUUGACUGUUAUAUUUUCUAUUGCUUUACUAUUAGUUCGUAGUUAAGGUGUCGGACUGUUAGUUUUAGCUUUUUUUUGUGGCAUUUCAUGGAUUUCUUAUCUUCAGACAUUUUAUAUGCUUAUUACUCACUGAGUCGGUAGUACUCACCCCUACUCCCUGCACCUUAUGUGCAGAUUCAGGUACAAUAGAGGCUUAGCUGAGCACUCGUUGUCUCCAGACAUUUUCACAAUCGUUGAG
This 5717-nucleotide long non-coding RNA is filed under the name Nicotiana benthamiana. Its description in RNAcentral is "long non-coding RNA (NBEN_LNC039512)". The record is from RNAcentral. Lineage: Eukaryota; Viridiplantae; Streptophyta; Magnoliopsida; Solanales; Solanaceae.